AUGAGGUGGUUUUGCAGUGCUGACCUUGGGAACAAAGAGGAAAUGUGUUCCAGCAUUUUCUCCCAGAAAAACAAACAAACAAACAAACAAACAAACAAACAAACAAAAUACAAACCCACCAACCAACCAAAAAAAAAUCUCUAAGAUUUCUUCCUUUUUCUUCUCCUUAUGCCUGGAGACUUCUUGACAAAGUUGAGAUUGCUGGAAGCAUGCCCAACUCAGACCUAAUCUAUCACCUACAAGUAGAAGAGGAACACAAGAUGAAAUGUCCCCAGUUAUUCUGCAGGCAAUUUCUCCUCAUAUUUCCUGGAAGACAUCAGACAUCUACCUACGUAAAUGGAACAUUUUGCACAUUGUAGAUCCCUCCCAGGAGGAUCAGACUUCCUGGUGCUUCCUGGAUGGAUGUCUAUGUACACACCACUGAGAUCCACCUGGAGUUUCCAGGGCUGACUACUCCUGCAUCUUCCUUCUAACCCAGUGAAGGGCUUGAGAAGGGGUAAAGACAUGAAGGACUGCAGCACCCCUCCUUCCCAUUGCUACGUCUACUGUUUUUCAGCUAGCAGGGCUGACGGCUAUGCACGGAGCUGUGGUUCCCAGGGGGAGUGCCAAAUUACCCUUCAGGGACUACAUUUCCCUUUUCAGCCUAGCAGAGACAGUUUUGGCACCUCUCUCUCUCUUCUGGGUGCAAUUUCAUGAUACAGCCACAGUGCAAGCAACAAACCAUCAGACCACACCACUUGUGCAAAGUGCACUGGACAUGGUUUCGGCGGACAAACCGAACGAUGACACAGCCUUGCUGAAACGAGUCAAAGGCUCCUGCGUGCUACAGUCGGUCCGAAGUCGGAUGGGUGAUAAAGAGGCUCGGGAAGGACCACAACUUCGAUUCUUCAUUUCGGGAAGGGCGGCAGGCAGGCGGGCAGAGGGCAGGCAGGGCAGGGCCGGGGCGGGCGGGGGCGCAGCUGCCCCAGCCCCCGG
Molecule: long non-coding RNA, 975 nt
Filed under: Numida meleagris (helmeted guineafowl)
Lineage: Eukaryota; Metazoa; Chordata; Aves; Galliformes; Numididae
Description: lncRNA (ENSNMEG00000002606.1)
Source: RNAcentral